RNAcentral lists this ribosomal RNA (253 nucleotides) under uncultured bacterium. Its description in RNAcentral is "partial 16S ribosomal RNA". It matches the Rfam family "Bacterial small subunit ribosomal RNA", at positions 524 to 776 of the family's 1533-position model. The record is from RNAcentral.
UACGAGGGGUGCAAGCGUUGCUCGGAAUUAUUGGGCGUAAAGGGUAGGUAGGUGGUCUCAUUUGUCUAGGGUGAAAGCCUUGAGCUUAACUCAAGAAGUGCCCUAGAAACGGUGAGACUGGAGUCCUGGAGAGGGUCGUGGAAUUCCCGGUGUAGCGGUGAAAUGCGUAGAGAUCGGGAGGAACACCAGAGGCGAAAGCGGCGACCUGGACAGGUACUGACACUCAACUACGAAAGCGUGGGGAGCAAACAGG